Molecule: ribosomal RNA, 285 nt
Filed under: Didymium verrucisporum
Lineage: Eukaryota; Evosea; Eumycetozoa; Physariida; Didymiaceae
Description: partial small subunit ribosomal RNA
Rfam family: Bacterial small subunit ribosomal RNA
Source: RNAcentral
CGUAGGCGGAUAAUCAAAAAUAUAGUAAAAGACUAAGGAUAAACCUUUUUUCAGCUAUAUUCACUAAUUAUUUGAGUUUUAGGGACGAUCAAAUGAAUACUUGAAGUAGGGGUAAAAUUGUUGAUAUUAGGAGGCGUUCGAAGGCGAAAGCAUGGAUCGACUUAAAUCUGACGUUAGGUACUAAAGCAUGGGUAUGAAAAGGAUUAGAGACCUUGUAGUCCAUGCUAUAAACCAUGAGUGUUCAACACGUUUUGUGAUAUGGUUAUCCCAGGAUAACCAUAAGAC